RNAcentral lists this ribosomal RNA (680 nucleotides) under uncultured beta proteobacterium. Its description in RNAcentral is "bacterial SSU rRNA". It matches the Rfam family "Bacterial small subunit ribosomal RNA", at positions 107 to 783 of the family's 1533-position model. Lineage: Bacteria; Pseudomonadati; Pseudomonadota; Betaproteobacteria. The record is from RNAcentral.
UGAGUAAUAUAUCGGAACGUGCCCAGUAAUGGGGGAUAGCCCGGCGAAAGCCGGAUUAAUACCGCAUACGACCUAAGGGUGAAAGCGGGGGAUCGCAAGACCUCGCGUUAUUGGAGCGGCCGAUAUCAGAUUAGCUAGUUGGUGGGGUAAAAGCCUACCAAGGCGACGAUCUGUAGCUGGUCUGAGAGGACGACCAGCCACACUGGGACUGAGACACGGCCCAGACUCCUACGGGAGGCAGCAGUGGGGAAUUUUGGACAAUGGGCGCAAGCCUGAUCCAGCCAUGCCGCGUGUGGGAAGAAGGCCUUCGGGUUGUAAACCACUUUUGUCAGGGAAGAAACGGUUUUCAAUAACACUGGGAACUAAUGACGGUACCUGAAGAAUAAGCACCGGCUAACUACGUGCCAGCAGCCGCGGUAAUACGUAGGGUGCAAGCGUUAAUCGGAAUUACUGGGCGUAAAGCGUGCGCAGGCGGCUUUGCAAGACAGAUGUGAAAUCCCCGGGCUCAACCUGGGAACUGCAUUUGUGACUGCAUGGCUAGAGUACGGUAGAGGGGGAUGGAAUUCCGCGUGUAGCAGUGAAAUGCGUAGAUAUGCGGAGGAACACCGAUGGCGAAGGCAAUCCCCUGGACCUGUACUGACGCUCAUGCACGAAAGCGUGGGGAGCAAACAGGAUUAGAU